AACGAAUGCUGGCGGCAGGCCUAACACAUGCAAGUCGAACGAGAAGCUAGAGCUUGCUCUAGUGGAAAGUGGCAGACGGGUGAGUAACACGUGGGAAUCUACCCAGAGGUACGGAAUAAUGCAGGGAAACUUGUACUAAUACCGUAUGUGCCCCUUCGGGGGGAAAGCGUUAUGUAGCGCCUUUGGAUGAGCCCGCGCUGGAUUAGGUAGUUGGUGGGGUAAUGGCCUACCAAGCCUACGAUCUAUAGCUGGUCUGAGAGGAUGAUCAGCCACACUGGAACUGAGACACGGUCCAGAUGCCUACGGGCAGCAGCAGUGGGGAAUCUUGCACAAUGGGCGCAAGCCUGAUGCAGCCAUGCCGCGUGAGUGAAGAAGGCCCUAGGGUUGUAAAACUCUUUCGCUGGUGAAGAUAAUGACGGUAACCAGUAAAGAAGCCCCGGCCAACUCCG
This 449-nucleotide ribosomal RNA is filed under the name uncultured Alphaproteobacteria bacterium. Its description in RNAcentral is "bacterial SSU rRNA". It matches the Rfam family "Bacterial small subunit ribosomal RNA", at positions 29 to 505 of the family's 1533-position model. The record is from RNAcentral. Lineage: Bacteria; Pseudomonadati; Pseudomonadota; Alphaproteobacteria.